AGGACUGUUAUUUAUAAAGGGUCAUUAGGCUUAUCAAAGGAUUAACCUCUCCCAAAAGCGAAUUGGGCCAACACCGCUUUUAAUUGAAAGCUGGCUUGAAAAGAAAAAAAUGUAGGUCUGGGCAUGAUGAAUGUAUACCAAGUCCAACUUGUGAAAGGAUUUUGGAUUUGGGCUUGGGAUGAGCCCAAGUCUAUCAUGAGAUAAGACUUGGCAUCAAAUCUGGACGGGGCCCAACCAAAUUCGAGAAGGAAAAUAGGCUCUGAAUAGCCAUAACAUAGUCACAAAAGAGAUACUAAAUAUCAACAUUAUGGAUAAAUAAGUCAUUGAUGAAAACACCAAUCAAUGCAAUUUUCUAAGCUAUUGUUGCAAUUCCAGGACACCAGCAGUUUGCCCGAUAAUCUACGCAUCAAUAUGAUUUACAAGUUCAGCAUAAAUGCAUCAACGUAUGUUAAUCUCCAUUCCAUUUCCCUUUUAAAUCCUUAUUCUAAAUCACUUCAAAUCAACAGUUUACUCCAAAACAGAAUAUUCAGCUACUCCUCAUGACAUCUUGCCUCUAAUGUAACUCAAACUUGAACAAUAUUCAUACACUAACAUGAAAUUAUGGCCACAACAGUAUGCUUACUAACACAACAUAAUUCUAGCUAACAUAUUCAAACAUAGAAUCUAGAUGAUGAUCCAAUUUCAUCAAGUUCCCAUCCUUACCAGAUCAGAUAUGAAGACCAUAACAAGAAUUCUAAGUUCAACACUUAGCUAUGAAUGCUUUGCUAAAAAUAACCUCAUAUCAUGUACAAACCCAACUCAGUUCUCACAAUGAACAUACAGUACACAAAAUAGGUUCAGAAUCCUGUAAUCUAAGAAAAAUGAAACUAAUCCAAAGACUCAAAACAAUGAAACCAUGCUUAGAAUUUCGAGUUUUAUUUCAUACUUCAUCUCACAACUUCUCAUGAUAUGGGAUUCAGGAAAGUUUACCUGGAAAGCUAAACAAAACAAAAAAAUGAAGGAUCAGCAGUGAACAGUAGCAGCCAGCCCAGAUUCGACCAGUCAAAAGUGAAAUCACCUCAAAAUUUUUAUGGAAUAGUAAACCAGCACCCAAGCUUGAACCAAAACUUUUCAAAACAGAACUUCAAUCCAUUUCAACCCCAUGAUGAGAAACUAUGAUUUUCAAAAUUUUGUUCACAAAAUGAAAUCAGAAGACUCAACAAUGAGUAAAAAUUUGAGCAGUUUACUAAACAUAAACUGUGAGAAAAUCAGAAUUCUCAAGAAAUCCCAGCCGUUUUAGUUUUCUCUGAAUUUUUACCUCUAAAAAUCUUAUUUUAGUGUCAAGUUAAGGUGCCUUUAUAGGAAAAC
Molecule: long non-coding RNA, 1347 nt
Filed under: Nicotiana benthamiana
Lineage: Eukaryota; Viridiplantae; Streptophyta; Magnoliopsida; Solanales; Solanaceae
Description: long non-coding RNA (NBEN_LNC028155)
Source: RNAcentral